Octopus bimaculoides (California two-spot octopus) is the source of this 1171-nucleotide long non-coding RNA. RefSeq lists it as uncharacterized. The record is from RefSeq and is a predicted model, not a curated record. Lineage: Eukaryota; Metazoa; Mollusca; Cephalopoda; Octopoda; Octopodidae.
ACUGCUACUGUUAUUUUAUAAGUUCUUUUUACUUUUUUUUUUUAUCAUUCUGGCAUGGGUUAGAUAAGUAUUGUAAUGUCUCAUCACCCGCUGUGGUCCUUCAUCAUCUGGAAGACACACCAGCAGAGAAACAUCUGCUAACUUUGUUUGUUAUUGUAUAUUUCACUAUUUUUGGUAUAGUUUCCAUGGAUAUCCCCACCACCACCAUCACCAUUCAUCACAAAUAACUUGACAGAGGAGACUGGAUGCAUUUUAUUGUCUAUCAUUUUCUUCCAUUCAUUCCUUCCUGAUUGGUAUGGAUUUUACAGCUGGAUACCUUUCCUACAAGAAAGCUUUACAUCAUGGAUUGGGUACAGCAUAAAGCUGUCUCUCUAGGAGUUCAUAGUUUUGCAAGCUACAUGAAAAAAGCACCCAGUACACUCUGUAAAGUGUUUGUUAUUAGGAAGGGCAUCCAGUCGUAAAAACCAUGUUGAAGUAGAUGGGAACACUGAAAACCUUGGACUUUAAAAACCAAUAAUAAAAACUGUAAUCAUUGGAUGAACCAUAAUUUUAUGAAAAAAGAAUAUCCCAAGAAUACAGUAGAGAUGUGGCUGAAGUCUGUCAAGGCCAACUAUGAAAUGGAAGAAUGACCAACAAAGUUGGCUGUUGAGGUUAAGAACAUAGCUUGUGAAAAUGUGUAAUAUGAUAUCUAAGGUCACCAACCCAGCAAAUAAAUAUAACACAGAGCUUACUAAGCACAAUCUAAGUAAAUACAUCUUUGAAUAUAUCGUGUCACAACUCAGAGAAUUAACCAAUACUAGCAGUGAAAGAAAUAGUGUUUUUUUUUUUCUUUCUGCAUUCUACCAUGGAGGGACAGACAAAACAUUAUGACCUGGAGUAAAAAUGUAAAACAAAAUAAUAAAAAUUAGAUAAAAAAAAAAGGAUCUACUUUUUGAUUUUUUUCUUUUUUCUUUUCAUUUCCCUUCAUCCUUAAUUGAGGAAAAAUACUUUUAUUCAUAAAUCCACGCAGUAAAUUGAAAGCAUUGUCGUUUCAUUAGCAUGCAGUACUUCUUUCUGUAGUCUUCAUGAGACUUUUUAUUUUUACUUAUUCGUAUAUUUUAUUUCUUGUAAAACACCACAGAAAAUAUUAAAAAGAAUAACGAAAACAUGGACAUGUAUCAUUCAUUUUGCU